Molecule: transfer RNA, 63 nt
Filed under: Dipseudopsis sp. XG-2021
Lineage: Eukaryota; Metazoa; Arthropoda; Insecta; Trichoptera; Dipseudopsidae
Description: tRNA-Glu
Source: RNAcentral
AUUUAUGUAGUUUACCCAAAACGUUACACUUUCACUGUAAAAACAAAUCAAAUUUUAUAAAUA